AAGUCGUAACAAGGUUUCCGUAGGUGAACCUGCGGAAGGAUCAUCAUCAAUUUCAUAUCCCAACACCGUGUUGGGAUCCAUGAUAAACCCUUCUGUGCACCGUAACCGUUCACUUUGGCAGGCUUUGGUGGGGUGGGGUGAGCGUUAGCUCGCUCGCUCGCUCGCUCGCCAACCUCGCGUUCUCCCUCCCCACCGAGGGGUUACGCGUGGCGGCCUGCCGGAGUCCCGCAAUUAAAAACGCGUUUUCGAACUCGACUGAAAAUUUUCCUUUGAGAAAUCAAAGAACCUAAAAAACAACUUUCAACAACGGAUCUCUUGGCUCUC
Molecule: unclassified non-coding RNA, 324 nt
Filed under: fungal sp.
Lineage: Eukaryota; Fungi
Description: partial internal transcribed spacer region
Rfam family: Eukaryotic small subunit ribosomal RNA (bases 1-46)
Source: RNAcentral